UUAAGCGACUAAGCGUACACGGUGGAUGCCUAGGCAGUCAGAGGCGAUGAAGGGCGUGCUAAUCUGCGAAAAGCGUCGGUAAGGUGAUAUGAACCGUUACAACCGACGAUACCCGAAUGGGGAAACCCAGUGCAAUUCGUUGCACUAUUGCAUGGUGAAUACAUAGCCAUGCAAGGCGAACCGGGGGAACUGAAACAUCUAAGUACCCCGAGGAAAAGAAAUCAACCGAGAUUCCCCCAGUAGCGGCGAGCGAACGGGGAGGAGCCCAGAACCUGAAUCAGCAUAUGUGUUAGUGGAAGCGUCUGGAAAGUCGCACGGUACAGGGUGAUAGUCCCGUACACAAAAAUGCAUAUGUUGUGAGUUCGAUGAGUAGGGCGGGACACGUGACAUCCUGUCUGAAUAUGGGGGGACCAUCCUCCAAGGCUAAAUACUCCUGACUGACCGAUAGUGAACCAGUACCGUGAGGGAAAGGCGAAAAGAACCCCGGCGAGGGGAGUGAAAUAGAACCUGAAACCGUGUACGUACAAGCAGUGGGAGCACCUUCGUGGUGUGACUGCGUACCUUUUGUAUAAUGGGUCAGCGACUUAUAUUUUGUAGCAAGGUUAACCGAAUAGGGGAGCCGUAGGGAAACCGAGUCUUAACUGGGCGAAUAGUUGCAAGGUAUAGACCCGAAACCCGGUGAUCUAGCCAUGGGCAGGUUGAAGGUUGGGUAACACUAACUGGAGGACCGAACCGACUAAUGUUGAAAAAUUAGCGGAUGACUUGUGGCUGGGGGUGAAAGGCCAAUCAAACCGGGAGAUAGCUGGUUCUCCCCGAAAGCUAUUUAGGUAGCGCCUCGUGAACUCAUCUUCGGGGGUAGAGCACUGUUUCGGCUAGGGGGUCAUCCCGACUUACCAAACCGAUGCAAACUCCGAAUACCGAAGAAUGUUAUCACGGGAGACACACGGCGGGUGCUAACGUCCGUCGUGAAGAGGGAAACAACCCAGACCGCCAGCUAAGGUCCCAAAGUCAUGGUUAAGUGGGAAACGAUGUGGGAAGGCAUAGACAGCCAGGAUGUUGGCUUAGAAGCAGCCAUCAUUUAAAGAAAGCGUAAUAGCUCACUGGUCGAGUCGGCCUGCGCGGAAGAUGUAACGGGGCUAAACCAUGCACCGAAGCUGCGGCAGCGACGCUUAGGCGUUGUUGGGUAGGGGAGCGUUCUGUAAGCCGUUGAAGGUGACCUGUGAGGGUUGCUGGAGGUAUCAGAAGUGCGAAUGCUGACAUAAGUAACGAUAAUGCGGGUGAAAAACCCGCACGCCGGAAGACCAAGGGUUCCUGUCCAACGUUAAUCGGGGCAGGGUGAGUCGACCCCUAAGGCGAGGCUGAAAAGCGUAGUCGAUGGGAAACAGGUUAAUAUUCCUGUACUUGGUGUUACUGCGAAGGGGGGACGGAGAAGGCUAGGCUAGCCGGGCGACGGUUGUCCCGGUUUAAGCAUGUAGGCGGAGUGACUUGGUAAAUCCGGUUGCUUAUCAACGCUGAGGUGUGAUGACGAGUCACUACGGUGAUGAAGUAGUUGAUGCCAAGCUUCCAGGAAAAGCCUCUAAGCAUCAGGUAACAUUAAAUCGUACCCCAAACCGACACAGGUGGUCAGGUAGAGAAUACUCAGGCGCUUGAGAGAACUCGGGUGAAGGAACUAGGCAAAAUGGUGCCGUAACUUCGGGAGAAGGCACGCUGGCAUUAGGUAAAGAGACUUGCUCUCGGCGCCGAAGCCAGUCGCAGAUACCAGCUGGCUGCAACUGUUUAAUAAAAACACAGCACUGUGCAAACACGAAAGUGGACGUAUACGGUGUGACGCCUGCCCGGUGCUGGAAGGUUAAUUGAUGGGGUCAGCCGCAAGGCGAAGCUCUUGAUCGAAGCCCCAGUAAACGGCGGCCGUAACUAUAACGGUCCUAAGGUAGCGAAAUUCCUUGUCGGGUAAGUUCCGACCUGCACGAAUGGCGUAAUGAUGGCCAGGCUGUCUCCACCCGAGACUCAGUGAAAUUGAACUCGCUGUGAAGAUGCAGUGUACCCGCGGCAAGACGGAAAGACCCCGUGAACCUUUACUAUAGCUUGACACUGAACAUUGAGCCUUGAUGUGUAGGAUAGGUGGGAGGCAUUGAAGUGUGGACGCCAGUCUGCAUGGAGCCAACCUUGAAAUACCACCCUUUAAUGUUUGAUGUUCUAACUCGGCCCCAUAAUCUGGGGUGAGGACAGUGUCUGGUGGGUAGUUUGACUGGGGCGGUCUCCUCCCAAAGAGUAACGGAGGAGCACGAAGGUUAGCUAAUCACGGUCGGACAUCGUGAGGUUAGUGCAAAGGCAUAAGCUAGCUUGACUGCGAGAGUGACGGCUCGAGCAGGUACGAAAGUAGGUCUUAGUGAUCCGGUGGUUCUGAAUGGAAGGGCCAUCGCUCAACGGAUAAAAGGUACUCCGGGGAUAACAGGCUGAUACCGCCCAAGAGUUCAUAUCGACGGCGGUGUUUGGCACCUCGAUGUCGGCUCAUCACAUCCUGGGGCUGAAGUAGGUCCCAAGGGUAUGGCUGUUCGCCAUUUAAAGUGGUACGCGAGCUGGGUUUAGAACGUCGUGAGACAGUUCGGUCCCUAUCUGCCGUGGGCGUUGGAAGAUUGAGAGGGGCUGCUCCUAGUACGAGAGGACCGGAGUGGACGAAUCACUGGUGUUCGGGUUGUCAUGCCAAUGGCAUUGCCCGGUAGCUAAAUUCGGAAGAGAUAACCGCUGAAAGCAUCUAAGCGGGAAACUUGCCUCGAGAUGAGUCUUCCCUGGGGCUUUAAGCCCCCUGAAGGAACGUUAAAGACUAUGACGUUGAUAGGCUGGGUGUGUAAGUGCAGCGAUGCAUUGAGCUAACCAGUACUAAUGAUCCGUGAGGCUUAACCUU
RNAcentral lists this ribosomal RNA (2905 nucleotides) under Yersinia enterocolitica. RNAcentral's name for it is "bacterial LSU rRNA". It matches the Rfam family "Bacterial large subunit ribosomal RNA". Lineage: Bacteria; Pseudomonadati; Pseudomonadota; Gammaproteobacteria; Enterobacterales; Yersiniaceae. The record is from RNAcentral.